UGGGGAAUAUUGGACAAUGGGCGCAAGCCUGAUCCAGCAAUGCCGCGUGUGUGAAGAAGGCCUGCGGGUUGUAAAGCACUUUCAGUAGAGAAGAAAAGCUCAUGGUUAAUACCCGUGAGUCUUGACGUAACCUACAGAAGAAGCACCGGCUAACUCCGUGCCAGCAGCCGCGGUAAUACGGAGGGUGCAAGCGUUAAUCGGAAUUACUGGGCGUAAAGCGCACGUAGGUGGUUUUGUAAGUCGGAUGUGAAAGCCCAGGGCUUAACCUUGGAACUGCAUUCGAUACUGCAGAACUAGAGUAUGGUAGAGGGAAGUGGAAUUUCCGGUGUAGCGGUGAAAUGCGUAGAUAUCGGAAGGAACACCAGUGGCGAAGGCGACUUCCUGGGCCAAUACUGACACUGAGGCACGAAAGCGUGGGUAGCGAACGGGAUUAGAUACCCGGGUAGUCC
This 449-nucleotide ribosomal RNA is filed under the name uncultured prokaryote. RNAcentral's name for it is "bacterial SSU rRNA". It matches the Rfam family "Bacterial small subunit ribosomal RNA", at positions 355 to 796 of the family's 1533-position model. The record is from RNAcentral.